ACUCAAUAGAUACCCAGGUAGUCCCAGCUGUAAACGAUGCAGACUCGGUGAUGAGUUGGCUAUAUGCCAUCUCAGUGCCGCAGGGAAGCCGUUAAGUUUGCCGCCUGGGGAGUACGGUCGCAAGACUGAAACUUAGAGGAAUUGGCGGGGGAGCACCACAAGGGGUGAAGCCUGCGGUUCAAUUGGAGUCAACGCCGGAAAUCUUACCGGGGGCGACAGCAGUGUGAAGGUCAAGCUGAAGACUUUACCAGACAAGCUGAGAGGAGGUGCAUGGCCGUCGCCAGCUCGUGCCGUGAGGUGUCCUGUUAAGUCAGGUAACGAGCGAGACCCCUGCCUCUAGUUGCUACCAUUAUUCUCAGGAGUAGUGGAGCUAAUUAGAGGGACUGCCGUCGCUGAGACGGAGGAAGGAGGGGGUCUACGGCAGGUCAGUAUG
RNAcentral lists this ribosomal RNA (433 nucleotides) under uncultured bacterium. RNAcentral's name for it is "bacterial SSU rRNA". It matches the Rfam family "Archaeal small subunit ribosomal RNA", at positions 723 to 1153 of the family's 1478-position model. The record is from RNAcentral.